UGAAAAGCCUAAGCCUUCACCAACUCCAUACUAUUACAAGUCACCUCCUCCUCCAUCUCCAGUUUACAUAUACAAGUCACCACCUCCUCCAUCACCUACUUAUGUUUACAAGUCACCACCACCACCAGUGAAGUCACCUCCCUAUUACUAUCAAUCUCCACCUCCACCAUCACCAAAACCUCAGCCUCCUUAUUAUUAUCACUCUCCACCUCCUCCAACACCAGUUGUUAAGCCACCAUACUACUACCAAUCUCCACCUCCUCCAUCUCCAAAACCUAAGCCUCCAUACUACUACCAAUCUCCUCCUCCUCCAUCACCAAAACCUAAACCUCCUUACUACUACCAAUCUCCACCUCCUCCAUCACCAAAACCUCAGCCUCCAUACUACUAUCAAUCUCCACCUCCUCCAACACCAGUUGUGAAGCCACCAUACUACUACCAAUCUCCACCUCCUCCAUCACCAAAACCUCAGCCUCCUUACUAUUACCAAUCUCCACCUCCUCCAACACCAGUUGUUAAGCCACCAUACUACUAUAAAUCUCCACCUCCCCCAUCACCCUCUCCUCCACCACCAUACUACUACAAAUCUCCACCACCACCAUCCCCAUCACCGCCACCUCCAUACUACUAUAAAUCUCCACCUCCACCAUCACCGGUUGUUAAGCCACCAUACUACUAUAAAUCCCCACCUCCCCCAUCACCCUCUCCUCCCCCUCCAUACUACUAUAAAUCUCCACCUCCAUACUACUACCACUCUCCACCUCCACCAUCACCAGUUGUUAAGCCACCAUACUACUACAAAUCUCCACCUCCACCAUCACCCUCACCUCCCCCUCCAUACUACUAUAAAUCUCCACCCCCACCUUCACCAUCCCCUCCUCCUCCAUACUAUUAUAAAUCACCACCACCACCAUCCCCAUCACCGCCACCUCCAUACUAUUACAAAUCCCCUCCACCUCCAUCCCCAUCUCCACCGCCUCCUUAUUACUAUCACAGUCCUCCUCCACCAUCUCCCACUCCUCAUC
This 1025-nucleotide long non-coding RNA is filed under the name Phaseolus vulgaris (common bean). RNAcentral describes it as "long non-coding RNA (PVUL_LNC001945)". The record is from RNAcentral. Lineage: Eukaryota; Viridiplantae; Streptophyta; Magnoliopsida; Fabales; Fabaceae.